CAAGUAUAGAUAGAUAGAUAGAUAGAUAGAUAGAUAGAUAGAUAGAUAGAUAGAUAGAUAGAUAGAUAGAUAGAUAGAUAGAUAGAUAGAUAGAUACUUUAUUGUAAUUAUAAAACAACACAUGCUUUAUUACUUGAAUACAUAUGGUAGUCUUCCAUAUCUUUUUACCACUUAGUAAAUUACUAUUAGCAUAUCUGAAAUCAACACAACAGUUUCAUAAACAUUAAUACUAGUGUGCACUUUGAAAUGAAACUGUUUGCUGAAAAUUGAAACUCAAAAAAAAGUAAAGCUUUUUUUAUGCUCUCUGUUUGCUGGAACCACACUUCUGACAAAACUGUGAUCAGGCAGUUAAAGUACCUAUGACAAAAAAUAUAAAAAAUGACUUUUUUAAAUCAAAAUCAGCAUUUAAAACAAGAAUGUCUUGUAAAUACAACUAAAUGGAUGCUUCUUUCAGCUACUCCCUUAUUUUGAAAGGCCUGCCACAGCAGAUGGAUGCACAUAUUUGAUUUGGCACAGUUUUACCCCAGAUUGCCAUCCUGACACAGCCCUCCCAGCUAUUUGUGUCUCCUCCUGGUCCCAAAGCAGGGAUCUUUUGCGUGUUAGACUAAUAUGUUAACCACUACACUAUGGAACCACUAAUAGCUUUGUAAAAUUGGUUAUUUUAAUUCCAUAAGAAAAUAAAGCAUUCUGCCUGCUUCAUGGGAUGUUAAGCAGCUGAUAGGGAUUUGAACUUCACUGCCUCUGGGGACCAGUAAUUGCAAAGCUGGUACGUAAGAGCCUAUUUUGUGCUUUUGUGGAUAAUCUGAUCCCAAACUUCCAAGUGGAUCAGAGCAAAGUUUACCUCUAUUAAACCCAGCAUAAGGCGCUCAAACAUUCUUAACACUGAAAAUAAAUUCAUUUGUAAAUAACUGUGACACUUUCCCAUGACACUUAAAGACCAGACCUGUCCAAACCAGACUAUAGCUCACAACACUGAAACACCUCGAAACAUCACAGCAACCACGUGACCCUGUAAACAUUUCUGUUUGUUUAAAUCAAAAUAAAUACGAUUUUUUUUUUAAAUAAAUAAUGACUUGUUGUAAUAAAAAAAAUAAAAUAAAAAAAAAUAAAAAAAAGAUAAAUCAAAAUAAAUAAAAAAGACAGUUUUAAAGUUUUAAUUGACUGGUUCACCUGUGUUAUAUGCAAAGCAUAUGUCACUAUAAACAUGAUUUAAUUUGGCAUUAGAUGCAUGAGGUGUUUUAUACCUCCUAUUAAAUGCUUUAAUUGGUUUUUCAGGAAUAAAACAACAGAUGUUUAAAGUCGACACAAAGAUUCUUUUUGGAUUUAACCCAAAUAACCUUCAAGUCCUUCUUGCACUGGCAUGCUUCCUAUUUAUAUACCUAUAAAGCUAGUCAAUAGAAACAGCUGCUGAACUCACAGAAAACUUUUUUAAUGAGUCUUGGAUCCAAUAUGUGCACGUUGAGGGCUUUGUGUACAAAAGUCUAAGUAGUUGAAGAUGUAAUUUGUCAUUAGAGUUACCACAUUUUUUAUUAGUCACUGUAAAAAACACA
This is a long non-coding RNA of Astatotilapia calliptera (eastern happy), 1550 nucleotides long. Lineage: Eukaryota; Metazoa; Chordata; Actinopteri; Cichliformes; Cichlidae. The record is from Ensembl.